This is a long non-coding RNA of Capra hircus (goat), 1308 nucleotides long. RefSeq lists it as uncharacterized. NCBI's taxonomy places the organism in Eukaryota, Metazoa, Chordata, Mammalia, Artiodactyla, Bovidae. The record is from RefSeq and is a predicted model, not a curated record. The transcript is spliced from 2 exons.
CUAUCAUUGGCCCGGGCGGCCUCGACUCGGCUUUAACUGUUCGCCGAUUGGUGCGCCUAAAGCGGCUCUCCUAAGAGCUUCUGCAGCAACAAAAGCCGUUUUCUACAGUACUAGUUGAAUGUUGCUCCCCGUUGGACUCGGAUCUAUGCCCACAGCACUUCUCUUGAUUCCUUACUGCACGGAGCUCAUCUUUGAAAUCACUCAUAUUUGUAGAGGGAAUUAUGGCUCAGUCCUGCUGCUCACAUCAUCCCACCGAAUCGUCAACUCCACUCUCAGACGAGGAAACAACUACAGCAAGGUGAAGAAUGUCACCCCAGGCCACACACUUGGUUAGCAGUGGACCAAAACAAAGUUAAUCUUACCUGAAAGUCUUCUGUGUGCACCCUGUCAAAUGCAGAAUCUCCCUUUGCCUGUCCUCUUACCAUGCUUCUGUGUUCUUCAUUCAUAGCACUCCUAUAGCUACUUGACCUCGUUGUUUAUUUUAGUUUAUCUCUGUUCAGGUAGAAUGUGCUCUCUUCACAAGAGCUGGGACUUUGUUUUAUUGUAUUUUUGGCACCUGAAACAGUGCCUGACAUUUGGAAUGAACAAAUGAGUGAGUGACUAAGAUGAACUUCUGAGCUGAGAUCUGAUUGAAGUUAGGAAGUGGACCACAAGAUGUCUGUGGAGGAGAAUUCCAGAUCUAGGGAACAGUAAGAGCAAAACCUGGAAGCAAAUGUGUACUAGAAAUGGCCAACGGGCCAGUGUGAUGGAAGAGGCUGAAAGAGAGAUAAUGCUCAGAGAUGAGAUGAGGUGAGAGAGAGGACACAGAACACCUAGAGCCUAAGAGCCUAUAGUAGGACUUCAGAUUCUAUGCUGAGACUAAUGGGAAACUAUGGGAGAGUUAUUUUAAUUUUAUUUUUUUGACUGUGCCACGUGGCUUAUAGGAUCUUAAUUCCUUGACCAGGGAUUGAACUCGGGCCCUCGGCAGUAAAAGUGCAGAGUCUUAACCACUGGACCGCCAGGGAAUUCCCUUAAUUUGUUUUUUAAAAACCGCUUUAUUGAGAUAUCUUUGACAUAUAAAAAUUGUAUAUAUUUAAAAUGUACAACUGGACAUUUUGAUAUAUGUAUACAUUGUGAAAAGAUUGCCACAGUCAAGCUAAUUUACAUAUCCAUCAUCUCUGCAUAUUAAUAGUUGCCAUUUUGUGUGUGUGUGGAGAAUAUGGGAGAAUUUUGGGCAAAGGGGUGACAAGAUUCAACUUCUGUUCUUCGUGUAGUAACCCUUGAGUUGAAUGAAGGAAUGAAAACAAAUCCCCCAAGAGCACCAAAACC